Molecule: non-coding RNA, 1180 nt
Organism: Misgurnus anguillicaudatus (oriental weatherfish)
Lineage: Eukaryota; Metazoa; Chordata; Actinopteri; Cypriniformes; Cobitidae
Source: RefSeq, a predicted model, not a curated record
CUCUCUCUCUCACUGUCCAAAACACUUAGCCUAUGCCUCUUUGUCUGACCAAUGUAGUAUUGUUGAAAUGGCUGCUGAGCAAGACAGAGGGAGAGCAGAGGGUGUUAUUUUCAUAGCAGACAUGCGUCUUGCUCAAAUCAAGGCAGAGAAACCCAAGGGCAAAGCAACAGCCAUUAAAGGGAGUACAUUUAAUGUCAGAUAGGUGGAGAAAAUGCUGAAGGACGUCCACUACUAAAAAGCAGCAGAAGUGAAGAGAUACAAAGCUUCAGCUACAGAAGGAGCUUCAAGCAGCCACAAACGGAGAGUUCUUUUGAACAGAUAUUGCUUGCAAGUAUUGGCCAUACCUUGAGAAGGCGUCAGUCUCCAUGUUGGAACUCAGACCUUUACUGCAGAUGAGACCUUUCCUUUCUGUCAUGCAUGCCAAGGCUCAUUCAACCAAGUGUCAGGUGUCACACAUUUGUUAGAUAAUCUGGCAAAAAUCAGGAAGGUGCUGGUACAACUGCAGUUGAGGGGGUCAAAAUGGUCAACAGCUAUCUGUCUCGUUGUGGCCUCACAACCAAUACUUUGAGAUUGCAUAAGAGUAAGCUGUAACUGUUCAAAGUACAUAAAAAAUUGGCAUGUAGUUCUCUCUUAAAUUUUAAACUCAAUUGUCAGUUUCUGGAUUAAUUGAAAUACCACAAGCAUUAAUGGGACCUUUCUUCCUUCAUCACAUACAUGUCUUGUUAAUAGCCAGGAAUGACAUGCUAACUGUCCAUGCUAUUGGGUGGAACCAACGGAAGCAAGAAGGCCUUCAGCAUUAUCCAGCAGAUACAUCAAGAAAGGCUGAGUCUCAGAGACGGGAAGAUUUGAGCAGUGAACUGGGGUGUCCUGAGAACAUUGUGAAUCAGUGGGUACAAGAUGUCAGACAAAAGGCUACUGAUGGAUUUGGUAGGUACCAGAUGUGAUGACCUACAUAACCUUCAGAAAUUAAUUGAACAAAUGUUUCUUAGUCUUCAUCGAAAAGCCAGCCUUUAUAAUCACACUGAAUCCAGCAACACCCUCACCAAGAAGAUUUUUUUGAUGUAUACAUGUCAAAAGUGAGCCUUCAAGAAGCAAAGAUCAUUGUGAUGAGGGAGAUGAGACACCACUGCACUGCACCUAUCUCAGAAGCCUGGCUAGGAACAUCAGGAAAAUGAUUUCA